CUCGCAGCCGACAGGGAGGGGAGGAGCAGCCCCGCUCUGGGUGCUCCCUAAGGAGAGGAGUCAGGGCAGCCCCUUCCCCUCUUCACCGGGGGGAGAUGGGCUGGAAAGAGCCCCCCCUGUUCGGGAGAGGGUCCAGGAGAGCCUCUGCCGGGGGAGCCGAGGGGAGGUGGGCUGAGGGCACCUCCGGAGAAGAGGGGCCGAGGUAGCCCAGGGGGCUGAAAGGGCAGGGGCUGACGCCCCCUGCUCACCCCCCCUGCCCUCUCCCCGGGGGUCGCCAGGGCAGAUAAGACAAGGAAAAUUCCCCCUGGGGUGGGGCCGACAGCAUCGCCCACACUGCUGCCAUGGGUGGGUGGACAAUUCCCCCUCCCCACACACCUUUCCCUGCGGAGUGGGGCCGGUUCAGCCCCUCGGGUGCGAUGCGCCGAGCCUGAGCCCUCCCGCAGGAAGCACAUUCCCUUCGGAGGGAGGAUCGGACCCCUCUCGGGUAAAGGGGCUGGGGGGGACCAGCCCUUUGAAGGUCCCCGGGGAGGGGACUGGGAGGAGCCCCCUCGGUGGGAGAAGAACAGGCUCGAGGGAAGGUCUCGGGGGACCCUGGGGGAUAUCGGGGUCCAGAGGGCUCGGACCCCUCUCCGUCGGCGGGGACCGCGGGGAGAACCUGGGCGCCGGGCAGUGCCAGCAGCAUCUCCCGCGCUGGGCGGGGCAGAACGGAGCGUUCCUGCUGCCCCCAGACAGACGGACGGACAGACGGAUACACACACACACACACACACACACACACACACUCAGCAUCAUCCCUGUCCCGCUGCAGAUCUGCCCUCCGCCACCGCCGAGAUGCUGCUCUUGCUGUUGGGGAUCAUCGUGCUCCACGUCACCGUGCUGGUGCUGCUCUUCGUCUCCACCAUCGUUAGUCAAUGGCUGGUGAACGGCGGGCACACNNNNNNNNNNNNNNNNNNNNNNNNNNNNNNNNNNNNNNNNNNNNNNNNNNNNNCCCCCCGGCAUCGGGGCUGUGCCCCCCGGCAUCGGGGCUGUGCCCCCCGGCAUCGGGGCUGCUCCAGCCCCCGGCACCUAUGGAAUCAAGAGGGAUUUGCCCAUGCGGGUUAUUUGAGAUUCUUUCUUGGAUUUCCCCGCGUCCACCCCAUCCCCUUGCCUGCUCUGCUGUGUCCCCCGCUGGAGGAGCAGGGCUGUGCUGUGUCCCGGUGUGGGGACACGGGGCUGGCCCGGCAGUGGGGGAUUGCUCCUCCGCCCUCGCAGUCCCUGAAGCUGCGGUGGGGCUCAGGACGAGGAUUAGACGUGCUGCCCAUGGCUCUGCCCGGCUGCCCUCGGGCUGAAGGGCAGGUCCUGGCAGCACCAGGGCAGGGGACACCCUCAGCUGCACUGGCGGGGACGGCUGGAGCCCUGCUGGGCGGUCUCCUGCUAUCAGCUCAUUUUAUCUCCUGAAUGCGCAGACACGAGGUGCUCUUCUGGGCAGGGUCGCUGGGAGCCUGUUACCCUGCUGGAAGCUGUAGGGCUCUUUUUGGGACAGGUCCCUCUUGCUCUGCUUGUGAGGGGUUUGAAGGAUGCCCACUGGGCCUUGAGGACACUCUGUCUCCAGAGGACACCUGUCCCCCACCUGGAAAUCCGUCCUGCGUUGUGCCGCUGGCACAGGCUGAGGUUUGGGCACAGCCCUGGUCCUGGGGAUGGCUGUGGGGGCUGUGCUGAGUGCUCGGGCCCUUCGUGCAGUGCACCUGCACUCCCGGGGGGCUGAACAGCCACCGCGGGCCCCAGCCGGGGGAAGGCUGAUGUCACACUGGGUGACAUCACCUCUGAACUGUUUGCUGAGGUCAGCAAGGGAGGAGAGAGUGCUGAGACACCGUGACAGGCGGUUUCCAGAGUGACCAGUGGCACCAGGAACACAAAAUCCAUGCCAGACAGUUGGGCAAGCCCGUGCCUCAGUUUCCCUGGAAGACAGAGCUGAUGUCGGUGGUGCUGGGGCCAGCGUUUGUUUUGUUAGCCUGGCUUUUGCUUUCCUGCGGACACAGGUUCUCCCAGUGCAGCCCCCAGUGACAGCAGCUGUGAGUCCCAGCACCGGCACUGGGACACGGUCACUGUGCUGGGAACGCGGGCCUGGGUAGGAGCAGCCCAAGUGGCCCUGGCGAGGGGGGCACGGUGGCACGGGGAGCAUUAAACACUCCAGCAGGGUCCCUCAGCGAAGGGAGGCUGUGAGAGGGUUUUUGGAGAUUCUGCUCAGAAUGCCCGGCCUGUGGGAGCGAGCCACUCGCGGUGCCCACGUGGGGAGGCGAUGCCGCUGCUCUGUCCCCACUUUCCUCGCUGUCCCCGCGUGUGUCCCGGCUCUGCUC
This is a long non-coding RNA of Cyanistes caeruleus (blue tit), 2336 nucleotides long. The record is from Ensembl. NCBI's taxonomy places the organism in Eukaryota, Metazoa, Chordata, Aves, Passeriformes, Paridae.